AUUCUCCCUUUUUUGUUUAAAACUCAUUACAAGCCGAGAAGUGAAAAACAAUGUUAUCACCCUAUUCAAAGGGUUGAAAGAGUCUUGUUUGGAGUUGUGUGGGGUUGAAUAAUUAUGUUUAUAAUAUUUCAGAAGUUGGCAGAAAAAGAAAAAAAAUAGAAAAGAAAAAAAAAGAAUGAAAAAAUAGAAGGAUAAGAGGAAGAAAAAAAAAGGAAUUAUGUUUGUAAUAUUUCAAUACAUGUCAAUACAUACUCCUUCAACAAAAAAAAAGAAUAAAAAGAGGAAGGAGAAGAGAAAACAAUUGUUAUAGAGUUGUUCAAGUGAAUGAAAUAUUUUGUAAAUUCAACUCCUGCAGUUUCUUUCAAGUCUCUUUUAUCUUUUUGAAUGUUAGCCUAGUACCCCUUAGGAUUU
This 411-nucleotide long non-coding RNA is filed under the name Lathyrus oleraceus (garden pea). Its description in RNAcentral is "Pisum sativum (pea) long non-coding RNA (PSAT_LNC003087)". The record is from RNAcentral. Lineage: Eukaryota; Viridiplantae; Streptophyta; Magnoliopsida; Fabales; Fabaceae.